UACCUGCAAUAAUUGAUUUGGAUCAUCGACCAUCAGAAGUUACUAUUAUAGAAGACGAUGAUUUUGUGGACCAACAGACCGCCGGUGUAUCUUUACUCAGUCCUACGCCCUCAAAACAUUUUUGGCCUGACAGCCCCCAGACAAGAAUACCCGAGGAAUUAUAGCCUCGGGUAUACCAUUGAAUGACUUAUGGUAUAAUGAAAGCGACGAUAUUCUACCGUUCUGUACGGCCGGCUUUGACAAAACUCAAAACAUCCCCAAGAAUCGAAGAUUUGCCAUACAUAUACACACAUCCAAGCAGCCCCAGCCAUUCGUUGAAUAAUCCUGCGCCUACAUCAUAUCCUGCACGGCUCCACAAAACUGUAGUGCCAAUACAUAGAACUGCAUCACCUCUGCCCGAGAAGGUCGACUGGUUUGAAAACGAUUGGAUUCAAGAGCAUGCUCUCUAUGGAUAUGACUCCGACGAUACCUAUACGAAUCAUGCAGAGUCUAUACAUCAAGAGGACAUCGGGAUAGGAAACGCAUCUAGGAUUCCUCAGAAAAACAGCCAUCAAACAACUAAAGACUUCUCCCAGGCCUAUACACACAUAGAAGACCCAAUACACCAAGAGGAAGAGGAGGAAGAGGAUGCUGAUGCCAUACAGAGUAAAACAUCUUAACAGGUUGAUACAUUCAAUGCUGUUAAUGUCAAUGAUGCUAAGGUCAAUGGUGGUGCUGAGGAAGGGUUGAGCUAUGAUGAGGAUGAUGUGUUGAUGUAUGAUGCGGCUAAACAGCUUGAUACAAUCAAUUCUGAUGUAGAGCCAAUACUCAUUGAAGAUAGCAUCAAUGAGGACACUGAUCAUGAUAUAGAACUUCAAGAAAAGUUCUCACAGCCUUUUACAGGGCUCUAAAAGCCAGAGAGGUCCAGCUACACACAAGUAUGGUUGCUUUACUAAGACAUCAGUACAAUCAAAAUAUAUCCUUCUGGCAUAACACCAUGCUACCAAUCUGAUUAAAAAAUGCCCAAACAAACGAUAAAAGCUGUAUGUAACAUGGACACUUCUAGAAUACCGCCAAAACUGAUCUCCUUAAUUAACCAAAUGAAUGAGAGCCCCCCCCUUCAACAACAACCCCCACACAACACCCCCCACCUCAUAUAACUCAUACACAUGAUCACCCAUUAUCACAGGUCCCCCACAAAUUAUCUCCUUAAUUAGUCAUAUUAAUGAGAGCCCCUCUCCUUCAACACCACCCCCCACACACAUCCACAUGGCACCUACAACCCCGACAGGCUAUGAAGACAAUGAACAACCACACAGUGAUUUUGGAAAGUUGUGUAAUAAAUCAGAUGGGGGACGGUCUUGAUAGAAGAGUCCGUGUUUUGUACCGCAAUAAAUUUUA
Molecule: long non-coding RNA, 1380 nt
Organism: Oncorhynchus masou masou (cherry salmon)
Lineage: Eukaryota; Metazoa; Chordata; Actinopteri; Salmoniformes; Salmonidae
Exons: 4
Source: RefSeq, a predicted model, not a curated record